Rosa rugosa (rugosa rose) is the source of this 306-nucleotide long non-coding RNA. RefSeq lists it as uncharacterized. The transcript has 2 exons. NCBI's taxonomy places the organism in Eukaryota, Viridiplantae, Streptophyta, Magnoliopsida, Rosales, Rosaceae. The record is from RefSeq and is a predicted model, not a curated record.
GUGAAGGCAAGAGAUAUUGAAAUGUAUAAAAAGCGCAAGCUUCCAACGCACCAGGUUCAUUGGCAGCUACACCAAGGACUGGAAACUCAAGUUACAAGUAUUUUUAUCUUAUAACAAAGUGCUAUUUUUUUCCUUUUUCGUUUUACUGUAUCUACAAACCGUUUUUGUCUUCAUAAGGUUUAUUUAGAAGACUUCAAUCUUGUUCUUUUCUUUUGCUGUUGUAUAUGGAGAAGUUUAGGCCAUACGUCCCCUUCUCCCUACUCUUUGUACUCUUUUUAUCAAUAGUAUUAAUGAGAAUUUUCUUUU